Malus domestica (apple) is the source of this 1205-nucleotide non-coding RNA. Lineage: Eukaryota; Viridiplantae; Streptophyta; Magnoliopsida; Rosales; Rosaceae. The record is from RefSeq and is a predicted model, not a curated record.
AGUUUACAAAAAAAAAAGUAAGGGCCUGUUCUUUAAUCAACCCGAUCGCAUCUGAAAGAAAGGCGAAGAAAUUGACAAUACGCAAACCCCUCUUCCUUCUCUCUCUCUCUCUCUCUCUUUCAAGCUAUGAGUCUCUUCGGUCUGGGCAGAAACCAGAGGACAUUCCGCCCGAAAAAAAGUGCACCUUCAGGGAGCAAGGGUGCUCAGCUUAGAAAGCAUAUUGAUGCUACACUUGGUAGCGGCAACCUAAGAGAGGCAGUAAAACUUCCAACUGGAGAAGAUUUAAAUGAAUGGCUUGCUGUCAACACUGUGGAUUUCUUCAAUCAGGUCAACUUGUUGUAUGGUACCCUCACAGAGUUCUGUACUCCAGAGAAUUGUCCUACAAUGACUGCAGGCCCCAAGUAUGAGUAUAGGUGGGCCGAUGGUGUACUAAUUAAGAAACCUAUUGAGGUUUCGGCUCCAAAAUAUGUUGAAUAUCUAAUGGACUGGAUUGAAUCUCAACUUGAUGAUGAAUCCAUAUUUCCCCAAAAGCUUGGUGCACCAUUUCCCCCCCAAUUUCAGGGAGGUUGUGAAGACGAUAUUCAAAAGAUUGUUCCGUGUAUAUGCCCACAUAUAUCACUCUCAUUUCCAGAAAAUUGUGAGCCUUAAGGAGGAGGCCCAUUUAAAUACUUGCUUCAAGCAUUUCAUACUAUUUACCUGUGAAUUCGUGCUAAUUGACAAGAAGGAGCUAGCUCCGCUGCAAGAGCUUAUAGAAUCCAUCGUUGUUCCUUAUUGAACACGGUUUGCAGAUCCCAAUAGGGAAGCAUAUUUGAGUCAAAUAAUCUCUACUCAUCUUUACAGCCUGCUACGUUGCGUGUUAUAAAUACUUUUUGUGCAUAUGCUGUGUGCCUUAGACUGGAAAUGUUUAUUGGCUGCUAAUUUAUUUCCAUCUAAGAUAGUGUGGAAAGAAAACGGGCAGAAGUUGCUCUUUGUACAAGAGGCUGAAGCGGAAAUGGCUGAAGUCGAUCAGCUCAAGUUUUAGCUAGCUGGUUUUACUUUAUAGAAACAUAAAUUGAGUGUUGUAUUUGUAUUUGUUGGUUUUACGUCAAAAGCUAGUGGCUCGUUAAAUUUAGUUUCAAACAGAUUCAGGAAUAAAUUAUGAAUUGUUUGAAGCAAUGUGCUCCUUAAAUUUCAAUUCUAUACAACUAAGGAAAUAUUUUAAUUUA